This 451-nucleotide ribosomal RNA is filed under the name uncultured Leptolinea sp. RNAcentral describes it as "bacterial SSU rRNA". It matches the Rfam family "Bacterial small subunit ribosomal RNA", at positions 917 to 1382 of the family's 1533-position model. Lineage: Bacteria; Bacillati; Chloroflexota; Anaerolineae; Anaerolineales; Anaerolineaceae. The record is from RNAcentral.
GGGCCCGCACAAGCAGCGGAGCGUGUGGUUUAAUUCGAUGCUACACGAAGAACCUUACCAGGGUUUGACAUGCAAGUGGUAGGAACCGAAAGGCGACCGACCCUUCGGGGAGCUUGCACAGGUGCUGCAUGGCUGUCGUCAGCUCGUGUCGUGAGAUGUUCGGUUAAGUCCGCUAACGAGCGCAACCCUCGCUGUGUGUUACAAGUGUCACACGGUACUGCCGGUCUUAAGCCGGAGGAAGGUGGGGAUGACGUCAAGUCAGCAUGGCCUUUAUGUCCUGGGCUACACACACGCUACAAUGGCCAACACAAUAGGUUGCUAAGCCGCAAGGUGGAGCCAAUCCUCAAAGUUGGUCUCAGCUCAGAUUGCAGGCUGCAACCCGCCUGCAUGAAGAUGGAGUUGCUAGUAACCGCAGGUCAGCUAUACUGCGGUGAAUACGUUCCCGGGGCUU